RNAcentral lists this ribosomal RNA (391 nucleotides) under Eropterus sp. UPOL A00551. RNAcentral's name for it is "SSU rRNA". It matches the Rfam family "Eukaryotic small subunit ribosomal RNA", at positions 910 to 1300 of the family's 1831-position model. Lineage: Eukaryota; Metazoa; Arthropoda; Insecta; Coleoptera; Lycidae. The record is from RNAcentral.
GGUGAAAUUCUUGGACCGUCGCAAGACGGACAGAAGCGAAAGCAUUUGCCAAAAACGUUUUCAUUGAUCAAGAACGAAAGUUAGAGGUUCGAAGGCGAUCAGAUACCGCCCUAGUUCUAACCAUAAACGAUGCCAGCUAGCGAUCCGCCGACGUUCCUCCGAUGACUCGGCGGGCAGCUUCCGGGAAACCAAAGCUUUUGGGUUCCGGGGGAAGUAUGGUUGCAAAGCUGAAACUUAAAGGAAUUGACGGAAGGGCACCACCAGGAGUGGAGCCUGCGGCUUAAUUUGACUCAACACGGGAAACCUCACCAGGCCCGGACACCGGAAGGAUUGACAGAUUGAGAGCUCUUUCUUGAUUCGGUGGGUGGUGGUGCAUGGCCGUUCUUAGUUG